This is a long non-coding RNA of Gorilla gorilla gorilla (western lowland gorilla), 719 nucleotides long. RefSeq lists it as uncharacterized. Lineage: Eukaryota; Metazoa; Chordata; Mammalia; Primates; Hominidae. The transcript has 3 exons. The record is from RefSeq and is a predicted model, not a curated record.
UACAAAUGUUCCAUAAAUAGUUGUUAUACUGUAUUGUUUUUUAUUUCUAUUACUUUUUAUUGGUGUAUUGUUAAUUUUUAUUGCUUUUAUUCCCCCAAAUAUUUUAAAUCCACAGUUGGUUGAAUCCAGAUGCAGAUCCAGGGACUGGGAGGGCUGAUGGAGGGCUGACUGUGUUUCUGCUCAGGCAGAUGUGAAGUGAGCCCUAAAAGAACUUCCCACUGGCCAAGAUUGUAGGAACUUACAACGCAAGUGGAAUCAUCCUGCCAUGAUACAGUCUGACGGGCAGAAGGGCACCGUGUGAUGAAAAGAGUGAUCAGGAGACAUCAGUGAAAAAGAGAGAUGGCGUCUUACUAUGUUGCCCAAGCUAGUCUCGAACUCCUGGCCUCAAGCAAUUCCCUUGCCUUGGAAUCCCAUAACACUGGAAUUAUAGGCAUGAGCCACCACACUCAGCCUGACAUACUCAUUUUUAAGCAAAGGACUUGUAAGUCAUGGCUUGUUAAUCUAACGCCGACGAUAAUGUCUCAGGCAGAAGCCACAGCCCAGAAGACUUCCCAGCGUGGGAAGGCUUAGGAGACCAGCUGGCAUCAGGCACAUUCCACAGAAAUACUGAGAAACUUAUGAAGAACAAACAGACCCGGCAGGAGCAAGAGGAAGAUACCUGGCCUGAGUAGCACUAAAUAUGUCCCAAUUAAACAGAACUACUAUCCCAAUUAAGCAAC